CCUACGGGAGGCAGCAGUGGGGAAUAGUGCACAAUGGGCGAAAGCCUGAUGCAGCAACGCCGCGUGAGCGAUGAAGGCCUUCGGGUCGUAAAGCCCUGUCCGCAAGGAAGAGAAUGACGGUACGUGAGGAGGAAGCCCCGGCUAACGACGUGCCAGCAGCCGCGGUAAUACGUAGGGGGCUAGCGUUAUCCGGAAUUACUGGGCGUAAAGGGUGCGUAGGUGGUUUCUUAAGUCAGAGGUGAAAGGCUAGGGCUCAACCGUAGGAAGCCUUUGAAACGGGGAAACUGGAGUGCAGGAGAGGCGAGUGGAAUUCCUAGUGUAGCGGUGAACUGCGUAGAUAUUAGGCGGACCACCAGUUGCGCAGGCGGCUCUCUGGACUGUACCUGACACUGAGGCACGAAAGCGUGGGGAGCAAACAGGCUUAGAUACCCGGGUAGUC
RNAcentral lists this ribosomal RNA (439 nucleotides) under uncultured bacterium. RNAcentral's name for it is "partial 16S ribosomal RNA". It matches the Rfam family "Bacterial small subunit ribosomal RNA", at positions 338 to 795 of the family's 1533-position model. The record is from RNAcentral.